GCGCCCUUAGCUCAGCUGGAUAGAGCACGUCCCUUCUAAGGAUGUGGUCGCAGGUUCGAAUCCUGCAGGGCGCACCA
Molecule: transfer RNA, 77 nt
Filed under: Photobacterium profundum
Lineage: Bacteria; Pseudomonadati; Pseudomonadota; Gammaproteobacteria; Vibrionales; Vibrionaceae
Also listed under: 4 other names
Description: tRNA-Arg
Rfam family: tRNA
About the family: Transfer RNA (tRNA) molecules are approximately 80 nucleotides in length. Their secondary structure includes four short double-helical elements and three loops (D, anti-codon, and T loops).
Source: RNAcentral